UUUCCGGUUGAUCCUGCCGGACCUGACUGCUAUCGGAUUGAUACUAAGCCAUGCGAGUCUUUGCAGUAAUGCAAGGCAUACGGCUCAGUAACACGUAGUCAACUUACCCUAUGGACGAGGAUAAUCUCGGGAAACUGAGCAUAAUACUCGAUGGAUCAUAAUGCCUGGAAUGGUUUAUGGUUGAAAUGAUUCGUCGCCAUAGGAUGGGACUGCGGCCUAUCAGCUUGUUGGUGAGGUAAUGGCCCACCAAGGCGAUUACAGGUACGGGCUCUGAGAGGAGAAGCCCGGAGAUGGGUACUGAGACAAGGACCCAGGCCCUAUGGGGCGCAGCAGGCGAGAAAACUUUGCAAUGUGCGAAAGCACGACAAGGUUAAUCCGAGUGAUUUCUGCUAAAGAAAUCUUUUGCAAGUCAUAAAACCACUAGUGAAUAAGGGGUGGGCAAGUUCUGGUGUCAGCCGCCGCGGUAAAACCAGCACCUCAAGUGGUCAGGAGGAUUAUUGGGCCUAAAGCAUCCGUAGCCGGCUCUGUGAGUUUUCGGUUAAAUCCAUGUGCUCAACGCAUGGGCUGCCGAAAAUACAGCAUAGCUAGGGAGUGGGAGAGGUAGACGGUACUCGGUAGG
This 619-nucleotide ribosomal RNA is filed under the name uncultured archaeon. RNAcentral describes it as "bacterial SSU rRNA". It matches the Rfam family "Archaeal small subunit ribosomal RNA", at positions 1 to 626 of the family's 1478-position model. The record is from RNAcentral.